GUGGGUGUAGCUCAGUUGGCCAGAGCGCCGGACCGUGGCUCCGGAGGUCGUGGGUUCGAGACCCACUACCCACC
RNAcentral lists this transfer RNA (74 nucleotides) under Coriobacteriaceae bacterium BV3Ac1. It matches the Rfam family "tRNA". From Rfam's summary of the family: Transfer RNA (tRNA) molecules are approximately 80 nucleotides in length. Their secondary structure includes four short double-helical elements and three loops (D, anti-codon, and T loops). The record is from Rfam by way of RNAcentral. Lineage: Bacteria; Bacillati; Actinomycetota; Coriobacteriia; Coriobacteriales; Coriobacteriaceae.